Misgurnus anguillicaudatus (oriental weatherfish) is the source of this 1159-nucleotide non-coding RNA. NCBI's taxonomy places the organism in Eukaryota, Metazoa, Chordata, Actinopteri, Cypriniformes, Cobitidae. The record is from RefSeq and is a predicted model, not a curated record.
UAGUUCAGUUUUGUUGGGUUCCAGCACAUGUUGGGUUAAAAGGAAAUGAAAUGGCUGACAAAAUUGCGAAGAAAAUGUUAGAAAAAGAACAUAUAGGAAUUAAUAUUUCAAUUGGGAAAGGUGAAGCCAAAGCUAAAAUAAAAUCAGAAAUGCUUUUGAAAUGGCAAAAUGAAUGGAAGGUAGAAUACAAUGCAAGGCAUUACCAUACAAUUGAGGAAAAUGUGUGGAGGAAAAAAAUAACAUUAGGUCUUAGCAGAAGGGAAGAAGUGGUUUAUAGUAGACUAUGAUUGGGUCAUACAGGUCUUAAUGGCACACUCAGGAUAAUAGGGAAGAAUAACAGUUUAUGUACUGAAUGUCAUGUUAUGGAAAAUGUAGAUCAUGUUUUGUUUAAUUGCAGGAAGUACACAGAAUAUAGACAACAAUGGAAAGAAAGAGAGGCUGAAAGUGGCAUAGAAAACACCCUUAAGGAAGAAGGAAUGAAGAGUGAUAAGAUUAAAUCCCUAUUUAUCUUUUUGAUGGGUGGCGGUAUACACCAAUGAGAUGUGAUCCGCCAAUAAAAUAAAGAAGAAGAAGAAGUAGUCUCGUCUUGCCAUGAACAAAAGUGCGGGAGCUGAGAGAAGCUGACGUCGCCGACGUCCGUGGUUUUCAGGUCAUUGGCACUGCUGUGUAAGUGUUUCACUGACCGACACCUCAAGACAUUUUAGCAAUGUACAUCUAGGAUGCGGUCUAUCCAGAUGAGCUUCUCUCCAAUGCCAGUAAACCGACAGUGGAAGACACGAGCCAGCACUUCUCCCCCCACAUUGCUUCAGGCUUUUGAGAUCCCCACUUUAAAACUGCUUCUCCCCCCUUCAUGAGACCGGAUGCUAUGUUGGGAUCACCGGGGCCUCCGUCGGCCGCCAUUUACACGCUACAUCAGGUGUAGCAAUUAUGUGAGCUGCAGUCUGGAUCCUGCUUCUGUCAGAUGACCUAACACAAAUGGAAAGAUGACAUCGGCCCUUGCCAGGAUUUCAGACGAUGCCAGCACUGGACUACACACAGUGGUAAUUAUCUGUGUUUCAUGUUUAACUUUAUGCCUUUUGGAGAUAAUUUCAUUUUCCCCCUGUUAAGUGUUCACAUUAACAGAAUUUUUCCCUAUGCUAUAGGGAUGUGCAUUUAUGUC